UGGCCUCUAGAGGUCACUAUAAGUAAUUCUUCAGUCAGUUUAUUCAUGUGAUGGGGUUGUGAUUAUAAACCCAGGAACCUGUAUAACCUCUCAACAGUUUAACGGUUAAGAUUUCCUUUGUCCAAGAAGCUCAGCACAAAUGUAAGUAAACUUAGUUUGUGUAAUUCUAGUGCUGUGCAUUUUUGAAUUGUUUAGGUUGCUCUGCCUCAUGUUCACAUUUGUGUGCUGUUUAGCCCAGAGCCUUUAAAGCUAACUUCUACCUCAGGAAGCAGCAAGUUAAAAGUUUGCACCCUUGGUGAGCGGAGCGAGCCCAGAGCCUUUAAAGCUAACUUCUACCUCAGGAAGCAGCAAGUUAAAAGUUUGCACCCUUGGUGAGCGGAGCGAGUUUUCACGGUGCUUACGCUGGUUGCAGAAUAAAAUCAAUUGCACCCGUUAGAGACUCUCUGCCUUGUAUUCAGAAGCCAAGGGCUGCGACA
Clarias gariepinus (North African catfish) is the source of this 476-nucleotide long non-coding RNA. RefSeq lists it as uncharacterized. NCBI's taxonomy places the organism in Eukaryota, Metazoa, Chordata, Actinopteri, Siluriformes, Clariidae. The transcript is spliced from 3 exons. The record is from RefSeq and is a predicted model, not a curated record.